AACGCACGAGACCUGCGGACCUGCGGAAGGAUCAUUAUAAAAAGUUUUUUUAUACCCUUUUAAUUUUAAGAGAGGUAUAUAAAAUUUUUUCAACCCUUUGUUUUUUUUUAGACUUUGUUGCUUUGGUAGGUUUUUUAAAACCUGCCAAAGGAAAUUUUAAAAAUUCUUGAAAUUUUUGUUUGUCCGAGUUUAUAAAAAAAAUUUUUAUAAAACUUUUAACAACGGAUCUCUAGAUCGGAA
RNAcentral lists this unclassified non-coding RNA (240 nucleotides) under soil metagenome. RNAcentral describes it as "partial contains 5.8S ribosomal RNA, internal transcribed spacer 2, and large subunit ribosomal RNA". The record is from RNAcentral.